AUAUGAGACCGGUGCCAUCAGCCACCGAAGUUUAAAGUGGGUGAGGGAAGAAAAGACGGUAAGAAAGAAAAGUGACGAUUUCUUUAUCUUUCACUUGAAUCACAACUGGAGGCAAUUUAUUCCUUUCUCCCUCCCACUGGAAAGGAAUGCAGGCAUGAGAAGGCAAGAACAGAGAACAGCAUGGAAAUAAUGCACUCCUGUGGGCCCACUGCUUUUUUUUCAAUUGAAGGAAUGAACACGCACGUUAUCGAAGUCUUCAUCUUUGAUUUUAUAUUUAAAAAAUCCCCAAUUAUUUCAGCUCGGUUAAACUCCUGGAAGUUCCUAUACAUUGGAUUACCAUCAACGCAAGACAGUUCACAUACAAGGUCCACCACCACCAACUAGGGAUGGCCAACAUCAGCAGAUAGCCUUAUGCCACAGCCUAAGAAUAAACACAAGAUGCAUAGUAGUUUUAUGUAUAUUAAAUAAGAUGAUGAUUGUGGAUGGAACUUA
Molecule: long non-coding RNA, 492 nt
Organism: Rhincodon typus (whale shark)
Lineage: Eukaryota; Metazoa; Chordata; Chondrichthyes; Orectolobiformes; Rhincodontidae
Exons: 2
Source: RefSeq, a predicted model, not a curated record